Molecule: non-coding RNA, 75 nt
Organism: Podarcis lilfordi (Lilford's wall lizard)
Lineage: Eukaryota; Metazoa; Chordata; Lepidosauria; Squamata; Lacertidae
Source: the annotation of a GenBank genome assembly
UGCUGGAAUAGCUCAGUUGGUACAACAUGAGACUCUUAAUCUCAGGGUCGUGGGUCCAAGCCUCACGCUGGGCAA